RNAcentral lists this transfer RNA (86 nucleotides) under Halorubrum sp. GN11_10-6_MGM. RNAcentral describes it as "tRNA-Ser". It matches the Rfam family "tRNA". From Rfam's summary of the family: Transfer RNA (tRNA) molecules are approximately 80 nucleotides in length. Their secondary structure includes four short double-helical elements and three loops (D, anti-codon, and T loops). Further hydrogen bonds mediate the characteristic L-shaped molecular structure. tRNAs have two regions of fundamental functional importance: the anti-codon, which is responsible for specific mRNA codon recognition, and the 3' end, to which the tRNAs corresponding amino acid is attached (by aminoacyl-tRNA synthetases). tRNAs cope with the degeneracy of the genetic code in two manners: having more than one tRNA (with a specific anti-codon) for a particular amino acid; and 'wobble' base-pairing, i.e. permitting non-standard base-pairing at the 3rd anti-codon position. Lineage: Archaea; Methanobacteriati; Methanobacteriota; Halobacteria; Halobacteriales; Haloferacaceae. The record is from RNAcentral.
GGCGGAGUUUCCCUAGCUUGGUCAAGGGACUGCGUUGGAACCGCAGCGUCCGCGAGGACACGAGUGUUCAAAUCGCUCUCCCGCCG